GGAAUCUUCGGCAAUGGACGAAAGUCUGACCGAGCAACGCCGCGUGAGUGAAGAAGGUUUUCGGAUCGUAAAACUCUGUUGUUAGAGAAAAACAAGGGCGAGAGUAACUGUUCACCCCUUGACGGUAUCUAACCAGAAAGCCACGGCUAACUACGUGCCAGCAGCCGCGGUAAUACGUAGGUGGCAAGCGUUGUCCGGAUUUAUUGGGCGUAAAGCGAGCGCAGGCGGUUUCUUAAGUCUGAUGUGAAAGCCCCUGGCUCAACCGAAGAAGUGCAUCGGAAACUGGGAAACUUGAGUGCAGAAGAGGACAGUGGAACUCCAUGUGUAGCGGUGAAAUGCGUAGAUAUAUGGAAGAACACCAGGGGCGAAGGCGGCUCUCUGGUCUGUAACUGACGCUGAGGCUCGAAAGCGUGGGGAGCAAACA
Molecule: ribosomal RNA, 424 nt
Filed under: uncultured bacterium
Lineage: Bacteria
Description: bacterial SSU rRNA
Rfam family: Bacterial small subunit ribosomal RNA
Source: RNAcentral